GGAAUUAUUUGUAACAUUGGUCCAUAUUCAUGACCAAGUAGUUUACCUAGGUUCAAGGGUAAGCCUUUCACGUGGCUAGGGCAAAUGGAAGUCAAGCCAUGAUUCAAGAGAGUAUGCACGGUUAGGAAUUUGAAUUCAAGGGUAUAUGGCACACGUUUUCAAACUUGGAGAUAAAGAGAAGAUUAUAUGAAGAUUAAAGAGAGAUUAAUCAAUCUCCCAAAUAUGCACACGGCUAGAAACAAGGAAAGAAGAUAGGAAGCUCAAUCUUUUAAGGUGCACAAGGCUAUAAAAUAGGGAAUCCUAAUCUCAUCUCCAACCAACAACAAAUCAGAUUGGAUUCAAAUUAAAUAUGAUUAGUUCCUCAAGAUGAAGUCAAAUUGAUCAAGUCUCUUCCUUCUCCUCAACAAAUUCGGC
This 414-nucleotide long non-coding RNA is filed under the name Lupinus angustifolius (narrow-leaved blue lupine). RNAcentral describes it as "long non-coding RNA (LANG_LNC000054)". Lineage: Eukaryota; Viridiplantae; Streptophyta; Magnoliopsida; Fabales; Fabaceae. The record is from RNAcentral.